This 730-nucleotide unclassified non-coding RNA is filed under the name Hevea brasiliensis (rubber tree). Lineage: Eukaryota; Viridiplantae; Streptophyta; Magnoliopsida; Malpighiales; Euphorbiaceae. The record is from RNAcentral.
GCCAAAUCAUAACACAUGAUAUAUAAAAAUUCUACAAUUACUCAAUUACUACCUCUUUACUCUCUCUCCCCUCUCUCAACAUUCCUUUCCUUCCAAUCUAAGCCUUGUAUAGCGAUAUAUAACCACAAACACACUACAAAACUGCAGCCUCUCCCCACAAAACAUGAGCUCAGUCUGCAUAUCAAACUGUGUCAACGAUACACGAGACCCCCGCGUGCCAGUACGUGCCACCUAUGUGAACCUCUACAAGUGGCCGGAAUCCGAUGCAGAGUUCAUAAAGUCUGUCCAGCGAGUAAGGCAGGGUUUGCAAGGCCAAACAAGGGUGGUGGACAGCAUAUCCUGCAGGCAAAUGUAUGUUAGGAGCUACACGUUCUCAAGGAAGGAGAGUGUGCCACAGAAGACGAAGAAGUGCUUGGGUAGAGUGAAAGAGAAGGUGGCUAAUCAUGGAAAGAAGAAACAAGAAGAGGGCCGGAUAAGGAAGUGUUUGGUGUUUAGGAAAGUGAAAGAAUUUUCUUGCGGUGCUUUGUUUAGAAUCUUUCACAGGUUGUUGUCUUGUGGUGCUAGUAUAGAUGUGGUUGAUCAAAAAGAUUCAAAUUAAUUUCUCAGUUUUCAGUUUUCUUCUUGUUUAUUUAUACUUUUAAGGUAUGUUUCUGUGUUUUAUAUAUAAAUAUGUGAUGAAUUUAUUAGGCUAAGGGAGAAAAUUAAAGGAAUGAAGGGUUGUUUAUAUAUA